AACGAACACUGGCGGCAUGCCUAACACAUGCAGGUCGAACGAGACCUUCGGGUCUAGUGGCGCACGGGUGCGUAACGCGUGGGAACCUGCCCUUAGGUUCGGAAUAACUCCCCGAAAGGGGUGCUAAUACCGGAUAAUGUCUUCGGACCAAAGAUUUAUCGCCUUUGGAUGGGCCCGCGUUGGAUUAGCUAGUUGGUAGGGUAAAAGCCUACCAAGGCGACGAUCCAUAGCUGGUCUGAGAGGAUGAUCAGCCACACUGGGACUGAGACACGGCCCAGACUCCUACGGGAGGCAGCAGUGGGGAAUAUUGGACAAUGGGCGAAAGCCUGAUCCAGCAAUGCCGCGUGAGUGAUGAAGGCCUUAGGGUUGUAAAGCUCUUUUACCCGGGAUGAUAAUGACAGUACCGGGAGAAUAAGCUCCGGCUAACUCCGUG
RNAcentral lists this ribosomal RNA (433 nucleotides) under uncultured bacterium. RNAcentral describes it as "partial 16S ribosomal RNA". It matches the Rfam family "Bacterial small subunit ribosomal RNA", at positions 29 to 507 of the family's 1533-position model. The record is from RNAcentral.